GUGACAGAUCAGCCAGGUGACAGAAAGAGAAGGCAGCUUUGAAAUUACGACUAUAACCAAGUACUGCUGGGACAUUCUGUGAAAAUGUAUAUCAAAGUCAUCAGCAUCAGACUACUGUAAGCCUGUACCGCCAAGACAUGCACCCACCCGACUUCAAAAAGCAGUUCCUGUUUUCUCAACAACCUAACUGGAGAAAUGAAGCAUAUUCCUUGAUUGAUUUCUAUCACACAGCGAGGCCAGGGGACAAAGAAUGGCCGACGGAAUGCUGAAAGGAUGCAAGAAUCCACUUUAAAGUCGGGAUAUGGCACAAGCCACUGAAAAGCUGUGUUGAUUCAGGGGUGAACUAGUAGAAGUGCUGCAAAGAAAUAGGACGCAUUUACUGUUCCUGCAAAACCUUUAAAUGAACUUGUGAAGGGCACCCUUUGCUUAGCUCUGGGACGCUGCAGCUGUCAGCUACAUCUGUAGGACUGCUGGCUCAACAACCCACAGAAGAUUAGAGAUAACCUCCUUAUGCAAUAGAUGACUGCCCUGUUACAAUGUCUUUGCAUAACAGCCUAGAACAGAACAUUUUCUGAGCAGCACCGCUGGCAAAUUGUUAAGCUGUUUAGCAGCUCAUACACACACACACACAGCACUUGGAUAUCCGUUACCCAGAUGCACCCAGAUGCCCUUGUAUUAAGAAUAAAA
This is a long non-coding RNA of Acipenser ruthenus (sterlet), 687 nucleotides long. RefSeq lists it as uncharacterized. NCBI's taxonomy places the organism in Eukaryota, Metazoa, Chordata, Actinopteri, Acipenseriformes, Acipenseridae. The transcript is spliced from 4 exons. The record is from RefSeq and is a predicted model, not a curated record.